ACUCUUCAAUCCAAGUUGCCAACCCUCCCUCAGUUGCGAGCACCUCUCUCCCCGCAACCUCUCCCUCCCUCGACAACACCACCUGAUGAUUGACUCGUCACCUAUUGUUUAGUCCAUGCAACUUCAGGGCAGGAGCUCACUCACUCUGCGAGGCGACUCACUUGGGAGCAAGCGGAACAACAGCGACAAGAGUGCGACUAUGGCGGAGGGAGGAGGAGGACAAAGCUUGGCAGCGGCUGCGGCGGAGUAGGCUGCCCACUUCUGUAGUAGCCUUUUCCUCUCAAACCCUUCCUCCCUCUUCCGCCUUCAUCCUCCGCUCUGUGGAACACAGGAACCCAUCUUCAUCGUCCUUAAUUCAUCCGUUAUUCAUCCAUACACGUCGUUUCAUCCUUUCUGCGACCGCGCCUGCACUCAUAGUGCUCCUCAUCCAUCCACCCUCAUCCGUCGGUCGAUCUUUCUGUCCAGCCCCAGGCUGACUUAUGG
Molecule: long non-coding RNA, 483 nt
Filed under: Physcomitrium patens
Lineage: Eukaryota; Viridiplantae; Streptophyta; Bryopsida; Funariales; Funariaceae
Description: long non-coding RNA (PPAT_LNC014872)
Source: RNAcentral